UUUCAUAAAUUUUAAGAAUUCUCAAAUCGCAUUCACUCUCUCUCUCUCAACAACUCUCCAGCCACGAGGAAAACAAUGAAUGGCAAGAGCUGGUCUAUGGUGGGCGCUCUGGACUACAAGGGCUUCCCUGCAGAUCGGUCAAAAACAGGUGGUUGGGUACCAGCUGCUUUCAUAUUAGGAAUCGAACUGGUUGAAAGGCUUUCGACAUUGGGGAUAGGGGUGAACUUGGUGACCUACCUAGUGGGCACAAUGCAUUUGCCCAGUGCCACCUCUGCAAACAUAGUCACAGAUUUCAUGGGCACGUGCUUCCUCUUGUGCCUUCUGGGUGGCUUCAUUGCUGAUUCUUUCUUAGGAAGAUACUUAACCAUUCUCAUCUUCUCAGCACUUCAAGCUCUGGGAACUGGCAUGUUAGCGAUUGUUUCAAGAAUCCCACAGCUGCACCCACCUCCAUGCGGCCAUGGAAACCAUCACUGCGAGCAGGCAAACGGGCUACAAAUGGGAGUUCUAUACAUAUCUCUAUAUCUCAUUGCUCUUGGGACCGGAGGCCUAAAAUCGAGUGUGUCGGGCUUUGGCACUGACCAAUUCGAUGAGAAGGAUGAGAAAGAAAGGACCCAAAUGGCACAUUUCUUCAGCAGGUUCUUCUUCUGCAUCAGUCUCGGCUCCCUACUUGCUGUUACUGUACUUGUAUACAUUCAAGAUGCGGUCGGUCGAAGCUGGGCCUACGCCAUUUGCUCUCUCUCUAUGAUAGUGGCCAUUGCCAUCUUCUUGUUUGGAACUCCAAGAUACAGGUUCAAGAAGAGUGCAGGUAGUCCAAUUGUUCACAUUUUGCAAGUUAUAAUGGCGGCCAUGCGCAAGCGCAAGCGCAACCUUCAAUUGCCUCAGGAAAGCAGCCUCUUGUAUGAGGACUGUAAUGGAGCACCAAGGAUCCCUCACACCAAGCAAUUCCGCUUCCUCGACCAUGCUGCGAUCAUCACACCAGAGGACCAAGAAGAAGGGUUAAGGUCCAGGAACCCAUGGAAGCUGUGCAGUGUCACACGAGUGGAGGAGGUGAAGAUGGUGGUGCGCAUGCUUCCCAUAUGGGCUACCUCCAUCAUGUUCUGGACCACCUAUGCUCAAAUGGUCACCUUCUCUGUCGAGCAGGCGACCACGAUGCACCGCACCCUCUUCGGCUCCUUCUCCAUUCCCCCGGCGUCCCUCACUGUGUUCUUUGUGGGCACCAUCCUCAUUACCUUAGCGGUCUAUGACCGGCUCGUCAACCCUCUUUACCGCCGGUUCUCUGACUCUCGCCAACCUCCGCUAUCAAACCUCCAGCGAAUCGGCCUAGGCUUAUUCCUCUCGAUCAUUUCCAUGGCUUCUGCUGCCCUAAUAGAGGCCAAACGCCUCAACAUCGCCAAAGAUUUGCAUGAUGAACACGGGCCUUUGCCUAUGAGUGUGUUCUAUCUGGUACCCCAGUUUUUCCUGGUGGGCUCAGGAGAGGCCUUCAUAUACACUGGGCAGCUGGACUUCUUCAUAACCCAAUCGCCCGCAGGGAUGAAAACCAUGAGUACCGGAUUGUUCUUGACGACACUAUCACUAGGGUUUUUUGUGAGCAGCAUGUUGGUUUCCAUGGUUGAUAGGAUUACUGGGGGAUCAGGGAAGGGAGGGUGGUUAGCUGAUGAUAUCAACAAGGGGAGGUUGGAUUGUUUCUACUGGCUUCUCUCUGGUCUCAGCUUGGUGAAUUUUGCUGUCUAUUUGUGGUGUGCAGCCUGGUUCAAGCCCCGGCCUCCGCCACAAGACAUGGAAAUGGAGGUUGCAGACAAAGGAAAUUCCAAUGGCAUGGAGAGAUAGAAAGCUGCGUAGAACUUUGCUACUGCACCUUCAUUUGUGUAUACAGUGUGAUCUUUUCUAUUGGCUUAGCUUACUGAACUUUGUGGUGCACUUCUUGAAGGGGAGGGAGCUUUAAUGGUGUGGAGAGAUAGGAAGUUGAAAGAGGGCUACUUUUGCUGAAUGCUUCAAUCUUAUUAUUAGAAAUGUGGAGCGCAGAGGUAAUUUUUCGGGCUUCAAGGUAACUAGU
Non-coding RNA from Amborella trichopoda, 2053 nucleotides. NCBI's taxonomy places the organism in Eukaryota, Viridiplantae, Streptophyta, Magnoliopsida, Amborellales, Amborellaceae. The record is from RefSeq and is a predicted model, not a curated record.